Molecule: long non-coding RNA, 3611 nt
Organism: Vespa crabro (European hornet)
Lineage: Eukaryota; Metazoa; Arthropoda; Insecta; Hymenoptera; Vespidae
Exons: 2
Source: RefSeq, a predicted model, not a curated record
AAUAUCAAUAAUGACUUAUCAUCGAAAGCAUACUGAUACUUAAUAUAAAAUAUUAGGUCUACCAAAAAGUUUUGUCCGUUUUUGAAUUGAAAGAAAAUAAUAUAUUUUCAAUAUAUUUAUUAAUAUUUACUGAACAAUAUAAUUUCUAUCAUUACUAAUCACCUCUUUUCAGUUUGAUGGUAAUUUAUGGAUUGACUCCAUUUCAAUAGAAUCAUCUUUGGAGGCAUUAAAUUUAAGCAGUGCUUAGCUGAUAUUUGCUUCAUUUUUGAAUUUUUUUCUCUACAACAAAUUUUACAGGGAGAGAAACAAAUGAAACCUGAGAAUAUGGUGGAUGUGGCAAAAUUUCCCAGCCUAUCUCUGCAAUUUUUUAGCGAGUCGCCAAAAUAGCAUGUGGUCUGUUAACUCAUGAGGCAUCCAUCUGGCAUAUUUAUAUACCAUUCCAAGCUUCCGAAUAUGGUCCAGAAUGGUUUGUUGUGUUGAAUUGACCUUUACCAAGGUUUCUGAUGUUGCAAAGAAAGGAUCUUGCUGUAUAAUCGUCCUCAAUAUCGACAAUAUCGUCAUCAAUUAAAGAUGGUCUUCCAGAGCAUAGUUUGUCAUUAAGAUUGAAAUCUUCUGCUUCAAAUUUUUCGGACCAUCCCCUGCAUGUUCUGUUGGAAACUAUCUUCACUAAAAAUGUUCAAAUUUCUACAUGCUUCUGCAACAUUUUUACCUUUUUGGAAUUCAUAUAGAAUGCAAUACAGCAAAUGAAUUUUAUCAAUAGACAUGUUUACACAAACGAAUCUCACUUAAUAUUGAGAUGACGAAACCAUCGUUUCCGUAAAUUUAGAGAAAAGUAAAGAGACAACCAUAUAUGUUUAAAACGAAUAUGUUCAUACAUGUUGAAACUUGAGAUGACAGAUCAGAAUUAUCGGACAGAACUUUCUAAUAGACCUAAUAGUUAAAAAUAAUUUGAUAAUUGUACCAUAUGAUCUUUCUCAACAUAAUGUACAUAUAUCAAGUAUGAAUUAUACAUCUGGAUUUCUUUACAUGCACAAUACAUACUGUGCAAAAAAAAUAUCGUGUAAAAAGUGAUCCACAAGAACUAUAAAAUUUAUAUUAAACUAAUGCGAACUAUACAAAGCACUUUAAAAUAUAGAAAUACAUUCAUUAAAAACAUUUUAUUUAAUAAACACAUAAAAGAAAAAUUAGUGUGUUGAGGUAAAUGAAAAAAAAAUAUUUUUUCAAAAAAAUACACAUGAUUAUCAUGACAUUUUCUGCAAACUAAUUAGUAUGCGUUUUUGCAACUGUGUAAAAGUAAGUAAAACGUGUGAAUAAAACAUGUUAAGAAAAUCUCUCAUAUAGAGGCUUAUAUCAUAUUCAACUAAUUGCAUCAUAUAUAAAUUAUCAUAAUAUUACCAUUAUAUUUUUUAUUAAUUUGUAAUGUAAUCAGAAAAUGUAGAAAAUAUAGAAAUCCAAUGAAAAUAUAAUACUCAUUCAAAUUUUAACAAUAAACUUGUUCAUUACAUAAUACAUUUGCUAAUAUAAUAUUAUGCCAGGUUCUUCUGAUUGCAAUUUUUAUCCGAUUUUGAUGUUUAAGAGUUUGUUUAAAAAAUAAAAGAUAAAUAUAUGAAAUUACCUUUUUUGGUUUUUUGAACAAAUUAUUUUCUUUGCAAAAGUCAUGUUUAAGAAAAGGUUAUUUUGAAGAAUCAUUUUGACAUGAAAGGAAACUUUUGAAAGUAUUAAAAAAAUAAUUUUUUUCAUCUUUUAUCUUUCCAUCAUCUAAAUUAUAGUGCAAAUGCUUAUAUAUGAAUUGAGUGAAUCUGAUGUAAUAAAUUCAAGAAACAAAAAGCAAGGUUUGUCUCCUUAUUCUGGACUGAUUCUAAUGAACAAGGGCUUAGCUAAAAAUAAAUUUAUUACAUGAGACUAUUUUCUUAAAAUUUUAAUAUAUGAUUUUGUUUUCAUGUAAAUUAAUCUUGAAUAUUAACAUUCUUUACAGAUAAUUUGUUUUAAAAAUAUAUAUUUUUAUUUUGAAAAUGUCAUGUCGUGAGCCAUUGUUUUGUCUUUUAAAUAGGUCCUUGCUCAUAACAACGUAUCUAUAAUUAUAUUUAUUGUUAUGCUGUGCCAUUUAAGAAAAAUUUCGUUGAAUUUAUACUUUUCAUGUUACUUUAGAAAAAUGAAUAAAUUAUGAACUUUAUACAAAAUUAAAAAAUUUAGAUAUAUAUUAUUAUAUUGUAAAGCGUAAUGUAAUCUUUAUUCUACUAAUAGUUUGUUUUUUCUUUGAAACUAAGAUUGUGUUUCUCUUUUAAACAAUAUAUCUUUUUAUAUGUUAUUUUUUGUAUAGAACAAGAAUUUAAUAAUAACCUUAUUAUCUUUAUAAAAUUCUGGCUACAAUAUAUAAUAAAUGCAAUAGGACAGAUAAUUUCCAUUUUUCAUUACUGCGUACAAUAUGUAUUGAUCCAUCGCUUUUUGAUUUACAUGCAAGUAUUUACGCAUGGUCUACAGUCUUGACUGUGAUAAUGGAUUAUUAGCUAUAAUAUAAUCACGCAUGUUUUGCUACUAGUGUUUUAUUUUAUUGUUACUUGUCGCCUAAAAGAGAAUGGUCCUUCAGUCAUAAGUACUUAAUUCAUAUGUUAGUUACUAUUAGGUGGAUCGGAAAGUAAUGUCGUUUCUGCGCAUGUCGAUAUUUGAUAGUAAUUAAAAAUAAAAACUUGUUAAAAAUUUAUUCGUUUGAAUUUAAUUUAAAAAAGCGACAUUACUUUCCGGUCCAUCUAAUACUUUCGAACCAUUUUAUUAAUUCUGUUAAAAUACGGGAUAUUCUUAGAAAGACUUUUUACCAUUGUUACCAUUAUGGAAUAUAAAUAAAAGACGAUCCUUAGACUCUUAAUCGAUAGAAUUAGGAUUUCCAGGUAAUAAUUGAUUAACUAUAUGUCACCCUUUGUGAGAAAAAAUAAUUUUUUCUGAAAAGAAAUUCAUAUAUUUUUGUUCAGUCUCAGUUCACUUCUUGAUCUGUUAUAUUUUUCCUGUAUUCAAUAUCGUCUGAAAUCGUCAUCAAUGAUGUUUCUUGGAAAUGACUGAUGAAAUUCUGAUAAUUUGUAGUUUUUUAUAUAUGAUACAGUACAAAGAAAUCCGACUAUUGUCAUCUUAACGUGUUUUGUAUUUGAUUGUGACUUUCGAAAAAAAUUUGAAGAUAGUAGUCUAGUAGUGGGGAGGAGUAAUAAUAGUAGUUGUUAGAUUAUGAUGCGACUGUGAACUUCGAGAGCAUUAAAGAUGAGAUGUUAUCGGAAUUCUGUCGUUGAUUGAACUGGCACUAAACGGAAAUGUGUGAACAUGUACAUUUAAAUUACAUAUAAUAAUGUUAUAAUCACUGUUGUCGAACAAUCGAAACGAAAACUAAAUUGAAAUGUGUGAAUCGACUUCUGUCUAUGUAUUGUUAAUUGUAUAUGUAUUGUAUAUGUAUUGUUAAUUAGGAUCGGAAAAUGUUAAAAAUAUAACGGCAUCGACAAUAUCAUUUGCUCGUAGAGCGGAUAUACCGGAUUAUACCGGUAAAAUCGGUAAUACUCAUAUUCCAUGUAAUCUUAUAAACAUUUCGUUACACAUAGGUAAAUAUACAAGAAGUAUUUAUAUUAUUAUAA